AUGUUACAGCCUUAUUCCAAAAUGGAUUAAAUUAAUUUUUUCCCUCAAAAUUCUACGCAAAAUACACCAUAAGGACAACUUGAAAAACGUUUUUGUGAGAUUUUUGCAAAUUUAUUAAAAAUCAAAAACUAAGAAAUCAUAUAGUAUUCACAGCCUUUGCCAUGAAGCUCAAAAUUGAGCUCAGGUGCAUCCUGUUUCCACUGAUCAUCCUUGAGAUGUCUCUACAGCCUAACUGGAGUCCAUCUGUGGUAAAUUCAGUUGAUUGGACAUGAUUUGGAAAGGCAGACACCUGUCUAUAUAAGGUUCCACAGCUGAUAGUGCAC
Stegastes partitus (bicolor damselfish) is the source of this 323-nucleotide long non-coding RNA. RefSeq lists it as uncharacterized. The transcript is spliced from 3 exons. Lineage: Eukaryota; Metazoa; Chordata; Actinopteri; Pomacentridae. The record is from RefSeq and is a predicted model, not a curated record.